UGCAAGUCGAACGAAGCUCUUUUCUUGAUCUCUUCGGAGUGAAAGUUGAGAUGACUGAGUGGCGGACGGGUGAGUAACGCGUGGGUAACCUGCCCUAUACAGGGGGAUAACAGUUGGAAACGACUGCUAAUACCGCAUAAGCCAUGGAACUGCAUGGUGCCAUGGUGAAAGAUCCGUCGGCGCGGGAUGGGCAUGCGGCGCAUUAGCUGGUUGGCGGGGCAACGGCCCACCAAGGCGACGAUGCGUAGGGGUUCUGAGAGGAAGGUCCCCCACACUGGUACUGAGACACGGACCAGACUCCUACGGGAGGCAGCAGUGAGGAAUAUUGGUCAAUGGGCGGGAGCCUGAACCAGCCAAGUCGCGUGCGGGAUGAAGGCCCUACGGGUCGUAAACCGCUUUAGCCGGGGAGUAACGAGUGGGACGCGUCCCGCUGUGAGAGUACCAGGAGAAUAAGCAUCGGCUAACUCCGUGCCAGCAGCCGCGGUAAUACGGAGGAUGCGAGCGUUAUCCGGAUUUAUUGGGUUUAAAGGGUGCGCAGGCGGCAUGUCAAGUCAGCGGUCAAACUGCGGCGCUCAACGCCGUACCGCCGUUGAAACUGGCGCGCUUGAGUGCGUGGGAGGAUGGCGGAAUGCGCGGUGUAGCGGUGAAAUGCAUAGAUAUCGCGCAGAACCCCUAUUACGAAGGCAGCUGUCCACCACGCCACUGACGCUCAUGCACGAAAGCGUGGGUAUCGAACAGGAUUAGAUACCCUGGUAGUCCACGCGGUAAACGAUGAUCACUAGCUGUGCGUCCUAAUUGAGGGGUGCGCGGCCGAGCGAAAGCGUUAAGUGAUCCACCUGGGGAGUACGCCGGCAACGGUGAAACUCAAAGGAAUUGACGGGGGCCCGCACAAGCGGAGGAACAUGUGGUUUAAUUCGAUGAUACGCGAGGAACCUUACCCGGGCUCAAACGCCAGGAGACGGGCGCCUGAAAGG
RNAcentral lists this ribosomal RNA (974 nucleotides) under uncultured bacterium. RNAcentral's name for it is "bacterial SSU rRNA". It matches the Rfam family "Bacterial small subunit ribosomal RNA", at positions 56 to 1008 of the family's 1533-position model. The record is from RNAcentral.